GCCUCUUUAACUCAGUUGGUAGAGUACGUCACUAGUAGUUUCCGGUCAGAAAUGAUCAGAGAGACGGUGAUGACGAAGUCAGUCGUUCGAACCGGCUAAGAGGCA
Saitozyma podzolica is the source of this 105-nucleotide non-coding RNA. The record is from the annotation of a GenBank genome assembly. NCBI's taxonomy places the organism in Eukaryota, Fungi, Basidiomycota, Tremellomycetes, Tremellales, Trimorphomycetaceae.